AUGCUGUCCCAGGUGGUACUUUCCGCCGCCACCACAGUGGCCCCGUCUCUGAAGAAUGCAGCCUUCCUAGGUCCAGGAGUAUUGCAGGCAACAAGGACCUUCCAUACAGGGUAGCCACACCUUGCCCCUGUACCACCUCUUCCUGAAUAUGGAGGAAAAGUUUGUUAUGGACUGAUCCCUGAGGAAUUCUUCUAGUUUCUUUAUCCUAAAACUGGUGUAACAGGACCCUAUGUGCUCGGAACUGGGCUUAUCUUGUAUGCUUUAUCCAAAGAAAUAUAUGUGAUUACCACAGAGACCUUCACUGCCAUGUCAUUAAUAGGGAUAAUGGUCUAUGGAAUUAAAAAAUAUGGUCCCUCUGUUGCAGCAUUUGCUGAUAAAAUCAAUGAGCAAAAACUUGCCCAACUAGAAGAGGCGAAGCAGGCUUCCAUCCAGCAAAUCCAGAAUGCAAUUGAUAUGGAGAAGUCGCAGCAGGCACUGACUCAGAAGCGCCUUUACCUUUUUGAUGUGCAAAGGAAUAACAUUGCUAUGGCUUUGGAGGUUACUUACCGGGAACGACUAUAUAGAGUAUAUAAGGAAGAAUCGCCUGGACUACCACAUAGCUGUGCAGAACAUGACGCGUCGAAAGGAACAAGAACACAUGAUAAAUUGGGUGGAAAAGCACGUGGUUCGAAGCAUCUCCGCAGAGCAGGAAAAGGAGACAGUUGCCAAGUGCGUUGCGGACCUAAAGCUGCUGGCAAAGAAGGCUCAAGCACCCCCGGUUACGUAAAUGAAUCUAUCCCAAUUGAGACAGCUAGAAACAGUUGACACACUAAAUGGAAACUAGUCUAUUUGACGAAAUCUUUCUGUAUUGAUGUCUACUGAAGUUAUAGUUUACCCUUCCUAAAAAUGAAAAGUUUGUUUCAUAUAGUAAGAGAACAAAAUCUCUAUCGGCCAGUCAAAUGUUUCUCAUCCUUCCUACUCUGCCUUUGAGUUGUUCCAUGAUCACUUCUGAAUAAGCAGUUUGUCUUUAUAAAAACUUGCGGUCUGACUAAAGAUUACCAGAUUAUAGUUUAAAUUUGCAAUUAAUUCUACCAUCUUGCAAUAAAGUGACAAUUGAAUGAAAAAAAAAAAAAAA
Mandrillus leucophaeus (drill) is the source of this 1114-nucleotide RNA transcript. It is a transcript of the gene named ATP synthase F(0) complex subunit B1, mitochondrial pseudogene, with no coding region annotated. The transcript has a single exon. NCBI's taxonomy places the organism in Eukaryota, Metazoa, Chordata, Mammalia, Primates, Cercopithecidae. The record is from RefSeq and is a predicted model, not a curated record.